GAAGCAGGCCAGACCGCCGCUGGUGCGAUUCAGGGAAACCUGGCACUGGAGGAAGGUCCGGACUGCACAGGGCGGCGUAGCAGCUAACGGCUGUCCACCGCGAGGUGAGGAUCAGAGCAACAGAGACGAGUCGCCGCGGGGUUCCGUGCGGGUGCUCUGUCGAGGGCCGGCGAAAGCCGGCGAGUCGGGCGGCGUGCCGCACGACCCCGGGCGCAAGCCCGGGCCGAGGCAGUCACCCGUCGCGGGGCAAGGCCCCGCGACGGGUGAAACGGGCAAUCUCUACGCGCAGCAACACCAAAUAGGCCGGCAUUGAUGCGGCCCGCGGAGCCGGCGGGUAGGUGGCACCGAGCCGGGUGGGCGACCCCCGGCCCAGAGGAAUGGCGGUCACGGCCGCGCUUCGCAAGGGGCGCGGCCGCACAGAAUCCGGCCUAUCGGCCUGCUUCACAC
This 447-nucleotide RNase P RNA is filed under the name Rubrivivax sp. RNAcentral's name for it is "RNase P RNA component class A". It matches the Rfam family "Bacterial RNase P class A". Rfam says of the family: Ribonuclease P (RNase P) is a ubiquitous endoribonuclease, found in archaea, bacteria and eukarya as well as chloroplasts and mitochondria. Its best characterised activity is the generation of mature 5'-ends of tRNAs by cleaving the 5'-leader elements of precursor-tRNAs. The record is from RNAcentral. Lineage: Bacteria; Pseudomonadati; Pseudomonadota; Betaproteobacteria; Burkholderiales; Sphaerotilaceae.